GGGUUGUGAGGUUAAGCGACUAAGCGUACACGGUGGAUGCCCUGGCAGUCAGAGGCGAUGAAGGACGUGCUAAUCUGCGAUAAGCGUCGGUAAGGUGAUAUGAACCGUUAUAACCGGCGAUUUCCGAAUGGGGAAACCCAGUGUGAUUCGUCACACUAUCAUUAACUGAAUCCAUAGGUUAAUGAGGCGAACCGGGGGAACUGAA
Molecule: ribosomal RNA, 205 nt
Filed under: Escherichia coli
Lineage: Bacteria; Pseudomonadati; Pseudomonadota; Gammaproteobacteria; Enterobacterales; Enterobacteriaceae
Description: partial 23S ribosomal RNA
Rfam family: Bacterial large subunit ribosomal RNA
Source: RNAcentral